CUGAUGAUGGGCUCUGCUCGAUAACUAUCCAAAGCAGUGCAGACCAAUGCAUGUUCAUUUUCAUCAUCUGAGUCAGAUGCCACCAGCAGAAGGUUGAUUUUCUCUUUUGAUGAUUCGGAUUCUGUAGAUUCUGAAUGGGAGUGUUGCUCUUUUAAGACUUCUGAAAGCAUGCUCCACACCCUGUCCCUCUUAGAUUUUGGAAGGCACUUCAGAUUCUUAAAUCUUGGAUAGAGUACUGUAGCUAUCUUUAGAAAUCUCAGAUUGGUUCCUUCUUUGUGUUGUCAAAUCUGCAGUGAAAGUGUUCUUAAAACGAACAACAUGCUGGGUCAUCAUCCGAGGCUGCUAUAACAGGAUAUAUGGCAGGAUGUGGGUAAAACACACAGCAGGAGACAUUCAAUUCUGCCCCAAGGAAUUCAGUC
Molecule: long non-coding RNA, 419 nt
Organism: Chelonia mydas (Green sea turtle)
Lineage: Eukaryota; Metazoa; Chordata; Testudines; Cheloniidae
Exons: 3
Source: RefSeq, a predicted model, not a curated record